This 429-nucleotide ribosomal RNA is filed under the name Gemmatimonadota bacterium. Its description in RNAcentral is "Gemmatimonadetes bacterium partial 16S ribosomal RNA". It matches the Rfam family "Bacterial small subunit ribosomal RNA", at positions 355 to 776 of the family's 1533-position model. The record is from RNAcentral. Lineage: Bacteria; Pseudomonadati; Gemmatimonadota.
UAGGGAAUCUUCGGCAAUGGACGAAAGUCUGACCGAGCAACGCCGCGUGAGUGAAGAAGGUUUUCGGAUCGUAAAACUCUGUUGUUAGAGAAGAACAAGGACGUUAGUAACUGAACGUCCCCUGACGGUAUCUAACCAGAAAGCCACGGCUAACUACGUGCCAGCAGCCGCGGUAAUACGUAGGUGGCAAGCGUUGUCCGGAUUUAUUGGGCGUAAAGCGAGCGCAGGCGGUUUCUUAAGUCUGAUGUGAAAGCCCCCGGCUCAACCGGGGAGGGUCAUUGGAAACUGGGAGACUUGAGUGCAGAAGAGGAGAGGGGAAUUCCAUGUGUAGCGGUGAAAUGCGUAGAUAUAUGGAGGAACACCAGUGGCGAAGGCGGCUCUCUGGUCUGUAACUGACGCUGGGGCUCGAAAGCGUGGGGAGCAAACAGG